This 207-nucleotide ribosomal RNA is filed under the name uncultured bacterium. RNAcentral's name for it is "partial 16S ribosomal RNA". It matches the Rfam family "Bacterial small subunit ribosomal RNA", at positions 568 to 774 of the family's 1533-position model. The record is from RNAcentral.
UGCGCAGGCGGGAAAGUAAGUUAGAGGUGAAAUCUCACAGCUCAACUGUGAAACUGCCUUUGAUACUGCUUUUCUUGAGUUAGGGAGAGGUUGAUGGAAUUCCAGGUGUAGCGGUGAAAUGCGUAGAUAUCUGGAAGAACACCGGUGGCGAAGGCGGUCAACUGGCCCUAAACUGACGCUCAGGCACGAAAGCGUGGGGAUCAAACA